Molecule: ribosomal RNA, 250 nt
Filed under: uncultured bacterium
Lineage: Bacteria
Description: partial 16S ribosomal RNA
Rfam family: Bacterial small subunit ribosomal RNA
Source: RNAcentral
UACAGAGGUCUCAAGCGUUGUUCGGAUUCAUUGGGCGUAAAGGGUGCGUAGGUGGUGUCGUAAGUCGGGUGUGAAAUCCCGGGGCUCAACCCCGGAACUGCAUUCGAUACUGCGGUGCUCGAGGACUGGAGAGGAGAUCGGAAUUCACGGUGUAGCAGUGAAAUGCGUAGAUAUCGUGAGGAAGGCCAGUGGCGAAGGCGGAUCUCUGGACAGUUCCUGACACUGAGGCACGAAGGCCAGGGGAGCAAAC